UACGAAGGGGGCUAGCGUUGUUCGGAAUUACUGGGCGUAAAGCGCGCGUAGGCGGUCAUGUAAGUCAGGGGUGAAAUCCCAGAGCUUAACUCUGGAAUGGCCUUUGAGACUGCAUGGCUAGAGAACGGGAGAGGUGAGUGGAAUUCCCAGUGUAGAGGUGAAAUUCGUAGAUAUUGGGAAGAACACCGGUGGCGAAGGCGGCUCACUGGCCCGUUUCUGACGCUGAGGCGCGAAAGCGUGGGGAG
This 245-nucleotide ribosomal RNA is filed under the name uncultured bacterium. Its description in RNAcentral is "partial 16S ribosomal RNA". It matches the Rfam family "Bacterial small subunit ribosomal RNA", at positions 524 to 768 of the family's 1533-position model. The record is from RNAcentral.